UCUAUCUCGUACACCUUGAUCUCAAAGGUUUCUGCUGUUGCAGUUGCAGCCCGGAGGUUUGAGGGAGUUGGGGGACCAAGAGGGCCAUCUACCCAGCAUGCACCUGGGCUUGAGGAGGAGGAAGAAGAGGAGGUGAUGGUCUGUUUGGAGGAACGGUGAGAGGGUGAGGAGGAUGAAGAGUCCAAGGUCAGUGCUGGGAUCAGGCGGCGACGCUGGAGACCUGAAAGAACAUUAAGAUUAAGCUCCUCUAUCCUCUGCUGGAUCUGUGCCUCCUCCUUGGGCAUGACUCCUGGAACGGGAGCCUGCACUUCCCUGGAGGAGCUCUGAGAUGCGGCCGUUGACGGCCCUGAGAGGCAGCUUGGCAGCUAGGCUUCCCCCUCGACUGCGACUCAAAGACUGGGUAGACCAGGAUCCAGUGGAAGGUCCCUGCUGCUGCACUGGGCCCUGGACUGAACUCUGAGGCUGAGGAAACAUAAAGGAGGAAGGCUGGAGCUCCGGCUGGAAGCUUGGCUCAGAGACUUGGUGGAAAAGCUGAGCGUCUUGGUGCUGGAGGCAGACAGACUCCUGGCUUUGGGACUGCUGGUCAUCAGCAGCUUACUGACUGCUGAGAUCUUUGACUGGCCGCUGCUUUUGGCUGGUGACUGUGGAGCACUGCUUGGACUGGGACUGGCACUGAAGCUAGGACUACUGGGGCCUCCAGUAGGAGAAGACACUGAUCCAGCACGUGUCAGGCUGCGCCCUGUGCGAGGCAUGGUGCUGUCCCCCCUCACUCCUCCUCCUUCUCCUCCUCUCAGGCUGCCCCCCCUCUCCAGAGAGAAACAGUCAUAGUGGUGGGAACCACUAUGGGAAUUGUGGACCCGACCCAGAGAGUUGGUUCUGCUCGCAAGCUGUUCUAACUUGGCGCUGAAGAGUCUGCUGCUGUCGAUGCUGGAGCCCCGCUGUCUGGCGUUACCUGCGAGGCCACAUCCUGACAUCCCAGCAUCAUCUACUGAGCUCAGAGAUGAUAGAUGGUGGAGAGGACUGGCUGCCCUGUUCCUCUGGUCCAAGCUGGACUUCCGUACAGGUGGAAGAGGUGGUAUUCCCCCCUUCUUGUGGGAGAAGAAGCCCUGUUUCCCAUUUGAUCCUCUGCGGUCGAGUGUGGAACGGGGACUACAGGGAGUAGAAGUUGUGACGCCAAGGUUACGAUACUCAUUUCCGUUGUCUAAGCCGUCAUGGCGGUUAAGACGGUGCCAGCCUCGGGGAAGACUGGCAGUGCGGUGGAUGUCUGCAUUGUAGAUACUAGUGAGGCAGUCUCCCUGGGCAACAACAGCAACCAUCUCACAGCCAUCCACCACUCGCUUAAAGGAAUCUGGAGAUGACACAACCUCGCCACCUGAACUGGAGCUGCCAUGAUCCCCACCUGAUGAUGGAAGCAGAGUGAAUAAGAGCAAAGAUAAAGGUUAUUCAAAAAGACAAGAAAGUAAUUUCACUUUAAACAACAGUCCAUCUGUGUGUACCAUCAGAGUACAGUGAAGGAGGCAGGUGACAGAUAAAGAUAGUGUGAAAAGAUAGACCUGAGAGUGAGUGCACUUAAACUAGAAGAGUCUGGAGGAAAGAGCGGCAAAAUGCAUCAGAAUUAUAUGUUAUGUACAUAUGUAUGUCGUUCCCAUGAGCAAGUGACCUAGCCUUAAUAAGACCAGGGUUUGGGUUGAGAGGGUUGUAGCUCAGGUAAAUGGCUACUGACAUAAUGCUAUAAUGCUCUACUAUCCAGAUAUAAACAUGCACAGAUGGCAUCUCCGGCGCAGUUUUGCAGUAUUUAUCUAGAAAAUGGAGAUAAAGUUGUGUGUAGGCUGUUUCUGAUUAAACUGGUAUAUAACCAGGACCAAUGCGUUACCACCACGGGCCUGUAGUGAUUAACCUAUCAGGAGGACCAAAGGCUGGUGGGGCCAGCUUUGUUUGCUUAGACGCACUCAGAAAACCAAUUUGUUGUUGUUAACCUGCAGAUACAGUUUUGACAGUCUUUCUUACCUCUAUACUAGUUGGUAAGAUAGAGUUUAAAUGUGUUAAAAUGUUAACAACUAGUAAAUUAAUCACUUCUGAAAAUUCCUACGUUUAAUAUUUCUACCACUUAGUUAAAUUUUCUUUUAAAAGCUAAUACACUGAAGCUUAACCUUGCUCUCUAGAAGGGCAAAAGAAGAAAAUUAAUGGAAACAUAGACUUGUGUUUAUUUAGGAGGAAGUCCUUCCUUCAAAAGUAAUAACACUUUAUGAUGACCAACAGGUCAG
Notolabrus celidotus (New Zealand spotty) is the source of this 2264-nucleotide long non-coding RNA. RefSeq lists it as uncharacterized. The transcript is spliced from 3 exons. Lineage: Eukaryota; Metazoa; Chordata; Actinopteri; Labriformes; Labridae. The record is from RefSeq and is a predicted model, not a curated record.